UACGGAGGGUGCAAGCGUUAUCCGGAUUCACUGGGUUUAAAGGGUGCGUAGGUGGGCAGGUAAGUCAGUGGUGAAAUCUCCGGGCUUAACUCGGAAACUGCCAUUGAUACUAUCUGUCUUGAAUACCGUGGAGGUUAGCGGAAUAUGUCAUGUAGCGGUGAAAUGCUUAGAUAUGACAUAGAACACCAAUUGCGAAGGCAGCUCACUACGGAUAUAUUGACACUGAGGCACGAAAGCGUGGGGAUCAAACAGG
This 253-nucleotide ribosomal RNA is filed under the name uncultured bacterium. Its description in RNAcentral is "partial 16S ribosomal RNA". It matches the Rfam family "Bacterial small subunit ribosomal RNA", at positions 524 to 776 of the family's 1533-position model. The record is from RNAcentral.